CCUACGGGAGGCUGCAGUGGGGAAUAUUGGACAAUGGGGGCAACCCUGAUCCAGCCAUGCCGCGUGUGUGAAGAAGGCCCUCGGGUUGUAAAGCACUUUCAGUGAGGAAGAACGCCUGGUGGUUAAUACCCAUCAGGAAAGACAUCACUCACAGAAGAAGCACCGGCUAACUCCGUGCCAGCAGCCGCGGUAAUACGGAGGGUGCGAGCGUUAAUCGGAAUUACUGGGCGUAAGCGCGCGUAGGUGGCUUGAUAAGCCGGUUGUGAAAGCCCCGGGCUCAACCUGGGAACGGCAUCCGGAACUGUCAAGCUAGAGUGCAGGAGAGGAAGGUAGAAUUCCCGGUGUAGCGGUGAAAUGCGUAGAGAUCGGGAGGAAUACCAGUGGCGAAGGCGGCCUUCUGGACUGACACUGACACUGAGGUGCGAAAGCGUGGGUAGCAAACAGGAUUAGAUACCCCGGUAGUC
Molecule: ribosomal RNA, 464 nt
Filed under: Vreelandella stevensii
Lineage: Bacteria; Pseudomonadati; Pseudomonadota; Gammaproteobacteria; Oceanospirillales; Halomonadaceae
Description: partial 16S ribosomal RNA
Rfam family: Bacterial small subunit ribosomal RNA
Source: RNAcentral